This 235-nucleotide ribosomal RNA is filed under the name Escherichia coli. Its description in RNAcentral is "partial 16S ribosomal RNA". It matches the Rfam family "Bacterial small subunit ribosomal RNA", at positions 1299 to 1533 of the family's 1533-position model. Lineage: Bacteria; Pseudomonadati; Pseudomonadota; Gammaproteobacteria; Enterobacterales; Enterobacteriaceae. RNAcentral also lists the same sequence under 1 other name. The record is from RNAcentral.
UGUAGGCUGAAACUCGCCUACAUGAAGCUGGAGUUACUAGUAAUCGCGAAUCAGAAUGUCGCGGUGAAUACGUUCCCGGGUCUUGUACACACCGCCCGUCACACCAUGAGAGUUGGCAAUACCCGAAGUCCGUGAGCUAACCGCAAGGAGGCAGCGGCCGAAGGUAGGGUCAGCGAUUGGGGUGAAGUCGUAACAAGGUAGCCGUAGGAGAACCUGCGGCUGGAUCACCUCCUUU